AAAAAGCUCGUAGUCGAAUUUGUGUCUCGCGCCGUCCGGUUCAUCGUUCGCGGUGUCAACUGGCGUGUCGCGAGACGUAUUGCCGGCGGGUCGUUCGCAAGAGCGGCCCAAAUGACCCCGCCGCGGUGCUCUUCAUUGAGUGUCGAGGUGGGCCGGCACGUUUACUUUGAACAAACUAAGGUGCUUAAAGCAGGCUGAAUUUUGCCAGAAUAUUUUAUGCAUGGAAUAAUGAAACAGGACCUCGAUUCUAUUUUGUUGGUUUUCGGAACCUCGAGGUAAUGAUUAACAGGAACGGAUGGGGGCAUUCGUAUUGCGACGUUAGAGGUGAAAUUCUUGGAUCGUCGCAAGACGGACAGAAGCGAAAGCAUUUGCCAAAAACGUUUUCAUUGAUCAAGAACGAAAGUUAGAGGUUCGAAGGCGAUCAGAUACCGCCCUAGUUCUAACCAUAAACUAUGCCAGCUAGCGAUCCGCCGACGUUCCUCCGAUGACUCGGCGGGCAGCUUCCGGGAAACCAAAGCUUUUGGGUUCCGGGGGAAGUAUGGUUGCAAAGCUGAAACUUAAAGGAAUUGACGGAAGGGCACCACCAGGAGUGGAGCCUGCGGCUUAAUUUGACUCAACACGGGAAACCUCACCAGGCCCGGACACCGGAAGGAUUGACAGAUUGAGAGCUCUUUCUUGAUUCGGUGGGUGGUGGUGCAUGGCCGUUCUUAGUUGGUGGAGCGAUUUGUCUGGUUAAU
This 737-nucleotide ribosomal RNA is filed under the name Anatis mali. Its description in RNAcentral is "SSU rRNA". It matches the Rfam family "Eukaryotic small subunit ribosomal RNA", at positions 621 to 1323 of the family's 1831-position model. The record is from RNAcentral. Lineage: Eukaryota; Metazoa; Arthropoda; Insecta; Coleoptera; Coccinellidae.